GACGAACGCUGGCGGCGUGCUUAACACGUGCAAGUCGAACGGAAAGGCCCUGCUUUUGUGGGGUGCUCGAGUGGCGAACGGGCGAGUAACACGUGAGUAACCUGCCCUUGACUUUGGGAUAACUUCAGGAAACUGGGGCUAAUACCGGAUAGGAGCUCCUGCUGCAUGGUGGGGGUUGGAAAGUUUCGGCGGUUGGGGAUGGACUCGCGGCUUAUCAGCUUGUUGGUGGGGUAGUGGCUUACCAAGGCUUUGACGGGUAGCCGGCCUGGGAGGGUGACCGGGGACAAUGGGACUGAGAGACGGCCCAGACUCCUACGGGGGGCAGCAGGGGGGAAAAUUGUGCAAUGGGGGGGAGCCUAUGGCGACAACCCCGGGGGCGGGAAGAACGCCCUGCGGGGUGAAACCGCUUUCCCCUGUGACCAAGGGUGAGUGACGGUAAUGGGUAAAGAAGCACCGGCUGACUACGUG
RNAcentral lists this ribosomal RNA (468 nucleotides) under uncultured bacterium. RNAcentral's name for it is "partial 16S ribosomal RNA". It matches the Rfam family "Bacterial small subunit ribosomal RNA", at positions 28 to 507 of the family's 1533-position model. The record is from RNAcentral.